UCCCUGGUGGCUCAGAUGGUAAAGAAUCUGCCUGCAAUGUAGGAGACUCAGGUUCGAUCCCUGGGUGGGGAA
This is a non-coding RNA of Bos taurus (domestic cattle), 72 nucleotides long. The record is from Rfam. NCBI's taxonomy places the organism in Eukaryota, Metazoa, Chordata, Mammalia, Artiodactyla, Bovidae.